RNAcentral lists this ribosomal RNA (254 nucleotides) under uncultured bacterium. RNAcentral's name for it is "partial 16S ribosomal RNA". It matches the Rfam family "Bacterial small subunit ribosomal RNA", at positions 1248 to 1500 of the family's 1533-position model. The record is from RNAcentral.
GGCAAGACCGCGAGGUGGAGCAAAUCUCAAAAAGACCGUCCCACGUUCGGAUCGCAGGCUGCAACCCGCCUGCGUGAAGUUGGAAUCGCUAGUAAUCGCGGAUCAGCAUGCCGCGGUGAAUACGUUCCCGGGUCUUGUACACACCGCCCGUCACACCAUGGGAGUCGGAAAUGCCCGAAGUCUGUGACCUAACCGUAAGGAAGGAGCAGCCGAAGGCAGGUCGGAUGACUGGGGUGAAGUCGUAACAAGGUAGC